AUUUAGCUGACGAGUUCCAAACAGGACGAAACGCGCGUCCUGGAU
This 45-nucleotide non-coding RNA is filed under the name Schistosoma mattheei. The record is from RNAcentral. Lineage: Eukaryota; Metazoa; Platyhelminthes; Trematoda; Strigeidida; Schistosomatidae.